CCUACGGGUGGCAGCAGUGGGGAAUAUUGGGCAAUGGACGCAAGUCUGACCCAGCAACGCCGCGUGAAGGAAGAAGGCUUUCGGGUUGUAAACUUCUUUUAAGGGGGAAGAGCAGAAGACGAUACCCCUUGAAUAAGCCACGGCUAACUACGUGCCAGCAGCCGCGGUAAUACGUGGGUGGCAAGCGUUGUCGGGUUUUACUGGGUGUAAAGGGUUCGUAGGCGGAAUACAAAGUCAGCGUUAAAAUCUCGGGGCUCAACCUCGCACCGCAGUUGAAACUGGCAGUCUUGAGUGGGCGAGAGGUAGGCGGAAUUCGUGGUGUAGCGGUGAAAUGCAUAGAUAUCACGCAGAACUCCGAUUGCGAAGGCAGCAUACCGGCGCGCAACUGACGCUGAAGCACGAAAGCGUGGGUAUCGAACAGGAUUAGAUACCCCGGUAGUC
This 441-nucleotide ribosomal RNA is filed under the name uncultured bacterium. RNAcentral's name for it is "partial 16S ribosomal RNA". It matches the Rfam family "Bacterial small subunit ribosomal RNA", at positions 338 to 795 of the family's 1533-position model. The record is from RNAcentral.